ACGCAAUAGAUACCCAGGUAGUCCACGCCCUAAACGAUGUCUACUAGUUGUCGGGUCUUAAUUGACUUGGUAAACGCAAGCUAAACGCGUGAAGUAGACCGCCUGGGGAGUACGGUCGCAAGAUUAAAACUCAAAGGAAUUGACGGGGACCCGCACAAGCGGUGGAUGAUGUGGAUUAAAUUCGAUGCAACGCGAAAAACCUUACCUACCCUUGACAUGGAAGGAAUCCCUGAGAGAUUGGGGAGUGCCCGAAAGGGAACCUUUACACAGGUGCUGCAUGGCUGUCGUCAGCUCGUGUCGUGAGAUGUUGGGUUAAGUCCCGCAACGAGCGCAACCCUUGUCAUUAGUUGCUACGAAAGGGCACUCUAAUGAGACUGCCGGUGACAAACCGGAGGAAGGUGGGGAUGACGUCAAGUCCUCAUGGCCCUUAUGGGUAGGGCUUCACACGUCAUACAAUGGUACAUACAGAGGGCCGCCAACCCGCGA
Molecule: ribosomal RNA, 486 nt
Filed under: uncultured bacterium
Lineage: Bacteria
Description: bacterial SSU rRNA
Rfam family: Bacterial small subunit ribosomal RNA
Source: RNAcentral